RNAcentral lists this long non-coding RNA (598 nucleotides) under Manacus vitellinus (golden-collared manakin). RNAcentral describes it as "lncRNA (ENSMVIG00005016720.1)". The record is from RNAcentral. Lineage: Eukaryota; Metazoa; Chordata; Aves; Passeriformes; Pipridae.
GCCGCCCCCCGUUUAUUGUCCCGGCUUUCCUCCUGCCCCAGUAGGGACUGGGAGGGACUGGGAAGGACUGGGAGGGACUGGGAGGGACUGGGGGAUCCUCAUGGGGUCCGGUGGCUCCCAGCAGGGUCAUUGUUACACCCCGUUAUUUAUCCAUGGAUUUUGUGAUUUUCGGGAUCCGCCGCCCCCCGUUUAUUGUCCCGGCUUUCCUCCCGCCCCAGUAGGGACUGGUUUGUACUGGGAGGCACUGGGAGGGACUGGGGGAUCCCUGUGGGAUCUGGUGGCUCCUCCAGGGAUGGAUUGUGGGAUCCAGGGAUGGAUUAAUGAGAUCCAUGGUUGCAUUCAUGGGAUCCAGGGAUGGAUUCAUGGGAUCAAUGGAUGGAUUGUGGGAUCAAUGGAUGGAUUGUGGGAUCCAGGGAUGGAUUGUGGGAUCCAGGGAUGGAUUCAUGGGAUCAAUGGAUGGAUUUGUGGGAUCAGUGGAUGGAUUAAUGAGGUCCAUGGAUGGAUUUGUGGGAUCAAUGGAUGCAUUCAUGGGAUCAUUGGAGGGAUUUGUGGGAUCCAAGGAUGGAUUUGUGGGAUCCAGGGAUGGAUUAACGACACC